AUGAUAAUUAGUUUAAGUCAAAACAAGUGAUUUCGACUCACUAGACUAUGAAUAAUAACAUAAUUAUCAA
Molecule: transfer RNA, 70 nt
Filed under: Ursus arctos (brown bear)
Lineage: Eukaryota; Metazoa; Chordata; Mammalia; Carnivora; Ursidae
Description: tRNA-Arg
Rfam family: tRNA
About the family: Transfer RNA (tRNA) molecules are approximately 80 nucleotides in length.
Source: RNAcentral